This 449-nucleotide ribosomal RNA is filed under the name uncultured bacterium. Its description in RNAcentral is "bacterial SSU rRNA". It matches the Rfam family "Bacterial small subunit ribosomal RNA", at positions 354 to 796 of the family's 1533-position model. The record is from RNAcentral.
GUCGAGGAUCUUCCGCAAUGGGCGAAAGCCUGACGGAGCGACGCCGCGUGGAGGACGAAGGCCUUCGGGUUGUAAACUCCUGUCAAGGGUUAUGAAAGAACGUAGGCGAACAGUCUACGGAGUGACGUAAGCCCUGAAGGAAGCACCGGCUAACUCUGUGCCAGCAGCCGCGGUAAUACAGAGGGUGCAAACGUUGUUCGGAAUCACUGGGCGUAAAGCGCGCGUAGGCGGCCAGACAAGUGUCGGAUGAAAUCCCACGGCUUACCCGUGGAACGGUUCGGCAUACUGUCCGGCUCGAGGGUGGUAGAGGAGAGCGGAACUCCUGGUGGAGCGGUGAAAUGCGUAGAUAUCAGGAGGAACACCGGUGGCGAAGGCGGCUCUCUGGUCCACAACUGACGCUGAGGCGCGAAAGCUAGGGGAGCAAACGGGAUUAGAUACCCGUGUAGUCC